Long non-coding RNA from Musa acuminata AAA Group (dessert banana), 2330 nucleotides. RefSeq lists it as uncharacterized. The record is from RefSeq and is a predicted model, not a curated record. NCBI's taxonomy places the organism in Eukaryota, Viridiplantae, Streptophyta, Magnoliopsida, Zingiberales, Musaceae. The transcript has 2 exons.
CUUAUUCCAUCCAUGAAGUUUUCCUACUGCUGUUCUUAGAAUUUGAAAUGCUCUCUGAAGAAUCGUGUGCCUCUUUUGAUUGUUAAAAUUCAAUCACCCCCCAAAAUACCCUAAUUUUCAGUUGGCUUGAUGUGCUGUAAGUAGAAGCUGAUCAGCAAUCACGCAUACUAAAUUUGAGCUUUGCGUAUGAGUCAACAAUAGACUGUGCUAUGUUUUAGCUGGGAAUUACCUUCUUAUCAUGCCUCCAAGGUUGUAAUGCAUGUUUAUUGGAAUUUGUGUAUUGAAAAUGAUGUUGAUUGCAUAUGUUUAGAUUGGGUUAAUCAGGUAGGUGGCGAGGUAUGUCCCAUAUCUACAGGGAUGCAUAUGGACUAAAGGCCUAUAUAUAAAUUUUAUAUGCACACAUAUAGUUUUGGUAAGCAUCACAAAACCUCACAUCUAUCUGUAUAGCAAGUGAGCAAAAUAGGUCUUCCAUUUUCAUGUCAGCCAGCUCCAGUUUUAAUACGAUGGAUGCAUGUUGAAGCUCUAGAAUUUCUAUUAUUUGUAAUAAUUCCAUACAUUAUCGGCGCCAUUAUUGCUGAUUCAUUUGCUAUAGUUUAAUAUCUACUACAUUUGAGAGAGUGCUUCUUGAGGUUUAUUCAUUAUUGCUAAUAUCUAUAAUGAAUAAUUUGUAUUUCUUUCUUCCUUCAAAUGUCAAAAUCUUAGCAAUUACAACGAGAAAUUGUUCUUUCAUUCACUUACCAAGCAACUGCUACUUAAUGUUCUAACAAAAAACAUGAAGGUAUAUAUACGCCCUCUUAUUAUAUUUCUCUUACUCAUAAUUUGUCGAAUGUGGUGCUUUAAAUCUUUCUGUUGAUCCCAAAUCUUGUCACGGUUCCUUGUUAUGAGACCUACUUGAUUGUUCCAAAUGUUUUGGAGGACACCAAUGUUCGUAGAAACCAAACCUUUCAUUGAAAUUCAUAUACACACCAUCUUAAUUAACCUCAGAAUGCCAACUCCUGAAAGAAAUAAAAUUUCGUGUAACUUGGGUUAGAGUUGAAAACUAAUGCUUAGCGAUCUAGUAGUUUUCUACUAAACUCAGAGGAAUAACUUAAUUGAUCUGAGAUACUUGGGUUAAGAAGUAGACCAGCCAAUCCACAGUUACAAGUGCUUCUUUUCAUGUCCCCAAAGUGUAUGAGACAUAUUGGAUUUGAGAGAGAGGCAGUGGCUUUGCUUGAGACUCCUUUGACUUCAAGGUUUGUAGGUAAGCUAACAUUGGGCUUUAUCAGUUUGUUAUAUUAAUUGCCUUGUGUUUGUUCACCAACCAUGAGAAUGGGUGAUGGAUAUUUUGUGCUGUCUGCCUGCUUUUGACCAGGUUCUGUUUUUACCUAACUGAAAUCUACAUAUUAUAUAUAUAUAUAUAUAUAGUCAUCUACCUGAUGUGAAGCACAAGUGCAACACCUAUACUUAGCCACCUGCCUUCAUUGUGAUACUGACACUACACCAUCCAGAAGGAGAAAAAAAAUUAUCUGAGGUGGAGCAACAAUCCUUUUUUACAUCUUUUUUCUUGGAGUUUUUAGGCUUCAGAACAGAGUUAGGAUACAUUUGACUUCUGCUAACUCCUGUUGCCUUUGUCAUUGCCUGAUCACCGGUCCAAGCUCUUAAUAUUUGCAUGUUCUACAUACGGAAGAGACCAGCGACCAUAGGAUGAUGUAACUUCCAUGUGUUUGAAGAGGAAUAUGAAUUUGUUCAACUCUUCUGAGUUCAUGAGACACGUUGUUUCCUUUUGAUUGUCAUCCAUUUUGUUUGUUUUUACUGGAAAAUUUGUACUAAACCCAUGUAAUCCACCUCUGAAUAUUCUUUACCAACUCCAUAAACUCAUGUUUUCUUGUUCGCUUACCUUUAACAGGUUUGACCGUCAUCAAGCUGAGCUAUCUACAUCAGAAGGAAAAUUCAAAUGGAUGAUUUAUCAUGUGCUUGCUGCCGAAAUUGCAUGUUUAUUGAUGAUGCUAGUUCUUCUAUUCCCCCUGCAAUUAUAAUUCGAUUGCACAAUUUCUUGCACUGCAGGUACAUCUCUUUGCACUGUUGCAAAUCAAUGGCAACAACAUGGAACUUGACAGAGUCAGUAAAGCACCUCUGCAGAAAGCGAUAUGAACCACAUCUCAUGGAUGACAAGGUGCCUGCUGAAAUCAUUCAAUCCUGCAACUCACCUUCUUCCCGAAUCACUAUACCUACUGCUGCCCUUGUGGAUGCUGUGAUUCCAGUCCACCAUUUAUCGUAUCUAAUUUUCUAUUAGUUUUGCCAAAAAGAAACCCAAAUAGUUGCUUCACAGAAUUCUCCAUGAACAUUGUUUA